AUUGAACGCUGGCGGAAUGCUUUACACAUGCAAGUCGAACGGCAGCACGGGGGCAACCCUGGUGGCGAGUGGCGAACGGGUGAGUAAUACAUCGGAACGUGCCCAGUCGUGGGGGAUAACGUAGCGAAAGUUACGCUAAUACCGCAUACGAUCUACGGAUGAAAGCGGGGGACCGUAAGGCCUCGCGCGAUUGGAGCGGCCGAUGUCAGAUUAGGUAGUUGGUGAGGUAAAGGCUCACCAAGCCGACGAUCUGUAGCUGGUCUGAGAGGACGACGCGCCACACUGCGACUGGGACACGGCCCAGAUUGCCACGGGAGGCAGCAGUGGGGAAUUUUGGACAAUGGGCGCAAGCCUGAGCCAGCCAUUCCGCGUGCAGGACGAAGGCCUUCGGGUUGUAAACUGCUUUUGUACGGAACGAAAAGGCUCUGGUUAAUACCUGGGGCUCAUGACGGUACCGUAAGAAUAAGCACCGGCUAACUACGUGCCAGCCGCCGCGGUAA
Molecule: ribosomal RNA, 500 nt
Filed under: uncultured bacterium
Lineage: Bacteria
Description: partial 16S ribosomal RNA
Rfam family: Bacterial small subunit ribosomal RNA
Source: RNAcentral